CCCUUAGAUGUCCUGGGCCGCACGCGCGCUACACUGAGUGUCUGAGAUACGAGUCUGCCUGGUCCGGCAAGGUCUAGGUAAUCGCUAAAAGACACAUCAUGCUUGGGAUAGAUUAUUGCAAAUAUUAAUCUUGAACGAGGAAUUCCUAGUAAGCGCAAGUCAACAGCUUGCGUUGAUUACGUCCCUGCCCUUUGUACACACCGCCCGUCGCUACUACUGAUUGGAUGUUUAAGCGAGGUUCUCGAACUGCUAGCGACUUAGCUUCGGUGAGGUCGCAGUGUGGGAAGUGGACCUAGCUUUGGUGUCUAGAGGAAGUAAAAGUCGUAACA
Molecule: ribosomal RNA, 329 nt
Filed under: uncultured eukaryote
Lineage: Eukaryota
Description: partial 18S ribosomal RNA
Rfam family: Eukaryotic small subunit ribosomal RNA
Source: RNAcentral